GAUGAACGCUGGCGGCGUGCCUAAUACAUGCAAGUCGAGCGAACGGACGAGAGGCUUGCUUCUCUGAUGUUAGCGGCGGACGGGUGAGUAACACGUGGAUAACCUACCUAUAAGACUGGGAUAACUUCGGGAAACCGGAGCUAAUACCGGAUAAUAUUUUGAACCGCAUGGUUCAAAAGUAAAAGACGGUCUUGCUGUCACUUAUAGAUGGAUCCGCGCUGCAUUAGCUAGUUGGUAAGGUAACGGCUUACCAAGGCAACGAUGCAUAGCCGACCUGAGAGGGUGAUCGGCCACACUGGAACUGAGACACGGUCCAGACUACUACGGGAGGCAGCAGUAGGGAAUCUUCCGCAAUGGGCGAAAGCCUGACGGAGCAACGCCGCGUGAGUGAUGAAGGUCUUCGGAUCGUAAAACUCUGUUAUUAGGGAAGAACAUAUGUGUAAGUAACUGUGCACAUCUUGACGGUACCUAAUCAGAAAGCCACGGCUAACUACGUG
RNAcentral lists this ribosomal RNA (497 nucleotides) under uncultured bacterium. RNAcentral's name for it is "partial 16S ribosomal RNA". It matches the Rfam family "Bacterial small subunit ribosomal RNA", at positions 28 to 507 of the family's 1533-position model. The record is from RNAcentral.